CCUACGGGAGGCAGCAGUGAGGAAUAUUGGUCAAUGGACGAGAGUCUGAACCAGUCAAGUAGCGUGAAGGAUGACUGCCCUAUGGGUUGUAAACUUCUUUUAUAUGGGAAUAAAAUGUUCCACGUGUGGGAUUUUGUAUGUACCAUAUGAAUAAGGAUCGGCUAACUCCGUGCCAGCAGCCGCGGUAAUACGGAGGAUCCGAGCGUUAUCCGGAUUUAUUGGGUUUAAAGGGAGCGUAGGUGGAUUGUUAAGUCAGUUGUGAAAGUUUGCGGCUCAACCGUAAAAUUGCAGUUGAAACUGGCAGUCUUGAGUACAGUAGAGGUGGGCGGAAUGCGUGGUGUAGCGGUGAAAUGCUUAGAUAUCACGAAGAACUCCGAUUGCGAAGGCAGUUCACUGGACUGCAACUGACACUGAGGCUCGAAAGUGUGGGUAUCAAACAGGAUUAGAUACCCCUGUAGUC
Molecule: ribosomal RNA, 460 nt
Filed under: uncultured bacterium
Lineage: Bacteria
Description: partial 16S ribosomal RNA
Rfam family: Bacterial small subunit ribosomal RNA
Source: RNAcentral